RNAcentral lists this transfer RNA (66 nucleotides) under Colossendeis megalonyx. RNAcentral describes it as "tRNA-Glu". Lineage: Eukaryota; Metazoa; Arthropoda; Pycnogonida; Pantopoda; Colossendeidae. The record is from RNAcentral.
AUUUCUAUAGUAUAUAUAAUACAUAAUUUUUUCAUAAUUAAAAUGGAUUAAUUAAUCCUUGAAAUG